Molecule: small RNA, 1395 nt
Filed under: Pan troglodytes (chimpanzee)
Lineage: Eukaryota; Metazoa; Chordata; Mammalia; Primates; Hominidae
Description: retained intron
Source: RNAcentral
GGGGUCGUAUAGGUGAAACAACUCACUCAAUAUCACAAGCUGUUAUGUGGUGAAGUUUGCAUGAUCAGUACAGGGUUCUGGUCGUCCCACUCAUUGAGUGGUGCUAGUCAAGAUCUGGAAGCUCUUCUGGUCUUAGUUUCUCUAGCUGUGAAGUGACAAUGAUUAGGUCUAAUCAUAGAACAUGAGAGUACAUGUGAAAAAAUGCCUUUUUAAAGAGUAUGAAAAACUUGAGUUGUAAAAUUUUCUUGUGAAUAAUUUAUUAUUGCUUUUCUUUUUUAGAUAACACUAACAAAGUUGACCUUAGAAUUGGAGUGCCUGGGUUAGAACCCUGCUGGUACCACCUGCUUACUGCAUGCUUCUGAUGUGAGUUCAGGAGAAGACACUGGCAAGGACAGCAAAGAACAGGAGAACACUCUAGCUUCCCUGAUAGCAUUCAAGGUGCUGUCCAAAGCUCUUGAGUUUCUGCUUUCAAGUGACCCUCAGAAAUUCCCCCAUUCACUGCAGAGGUUCUGUUUCUCCUUGCUUUGUUCUGACUUUACGGCAGAACUAAGCUGAUGAGUUAGUUACUAUGGGUUAUCACUUGGAUUUGAAGAACCAUCAUUUCUAGGCAUUGCUGCUCAGAGUGGGUCUGCCCUCAGGGGAAGCUGUCUAACCAGAGCCUAACCCACUAGGGUUUUAUCAGAACCUAACUGACCUGAGGAAAAGAAAUAUUCAACUCCAGCAAGCUCCAGCCUUCCAAAUGGAGGAGAAGAAAACCCAACUCCAGCCCACUUCAGCUAUCUUGUCCCACAUAAAGGGGAAGUGGAAGAAACCUGAGAAGCAGGCAUGAAGUUCACAGUCCAGAGGUACAGACACAUCAGAGUUCAGUAUCUGAUGAAUUAGAUGCAAAAACCUCAACAAAGUAUUAGCAAAUUGAAUUCAACAAUGUAUGAAAAUUAUUACAUGCCAUGACUAAUUGGAAUUUAUCUCAGGUAUACAAGCCAUGCUGAACAUCUGAAAAUCAAUUCAUGUGAUCCAUCACAUUAGCAGACUCAAGAAAAAAAACCACAUUAUCAUAUCAGUAGAUGUAGAAAAAAAAAUUUAACAAAAUCCAGCACCCAUUCACAAUGAAAAUGCCCAGUAAAUUAGAAAUAGAAGGUAACUUCCUCAAAUUGAUAAGGAAUAUCUCUAAAAACCUACAACUAAAAUCAUACUUAAUGGUAGAAAACUAGAAGCCUUCCCAGUAAGAGUAAGAACAAGGCAAAGAUGUAUGCUCUCACCAAUGCUUUUCAACAUCAUAUAUUGGAAGUCCUAGCUAGUGCAAUAAGCAAAAAAAAAAAAAAAAAAAAAAAAGUUAUGUUAAUAAGAACAAAAACUGUGUUUGUUUGCAGAUGACAUGAUUUUCUAUGCAAAAAA